AAAAGAGGAAAGAAACAGAAUAGCAGGGGACGAAACAGAGAAGGGAGAAAGGAAGAAUAGAAAAAGGGAAAAAUAAGGUUUUAAAGGUUCCAAGUUAAUUUGCUAAUAUUGUCUCGGGAAACCUCGGCUAAGCAAGGAAAAAAUGGCAAAGACAAAGGGAGUUAGCUCGAGAAAAUACGGUUUAGUAAAGAUAGAACGUUGAAUCAGCAUCCCAGUCCGAUCCCGAAUUCAUUAAGGUAAAGUGUGUUAAUUAUUGGUAAUGGCAUAUACCUAGGAUGUCUUAUGUGUAUGUCAUUUUGAAAUUGUAAAUGUAAGGAUGAAAUAAAUAAAUUUAGAUUUGGCUAUAGUAUAAAAUAGGAUUUGACUAAUUUGGUAUGAAUUUGAAUUUUUGUGAGACAAUGUCAGAUUGAUUUUGGAAUUCCCUAUUCUGAAUUGGGAAAAUCAUUAAAAAUUGUAUAAAAAUAAUUACAGGCUAUAA
Gossypium arboreum is the source of this 478-nucleotide long non-coding RNA. RefSeq lists it as uncharacterized. NCBI's taxonomy places the organism in Eukaryota, Viridiplantae, Streptophyta, Magnoliopsida, Malvales, Malvaceae. The transcript is spliced from 3 exons. The record is from RefSeq and is a predicted model, not a curated record.